GACGAACGCUGGCGGCGUGCUUAACACAUGCAAGUCGAACGGAAAGGCCCUGCUUUUGUGGGGUGCUCGAGUGGCGAACGGGUGAGUAACACGUGAGUAACCUGCCCUUGACUUUGGGAUAACUUCAGGAAACUGGGGCUAAUACCGGAUAGGAGCUCCUGCUGCAUGGUGGGGGUUGGAAAGUUUCGGCGGUUGGGGAUGGACUCGCGGCUUAUCAGCUUGUUGGUGGGGUAGUGGCUUACCAAGGCUUUGACGGGUAGCCGGCCUGAGAGGGUGACCGGCACACUUGGGGCUGGUGUCCGGCCCAGCCCCCACCGGGGGGCACUGGGGGGGAUGAUUGCAGAUGGGGUGGAGGCGUAUUUGACCACCCCCGCGGGGGGGAGGGCGGCCUUCGGGGUAGAACCCGUUUUCGCCGGGGCCGGAGCGUGGGGACCGAGAUUGGGAAAAGAAGCACGGCCUAACCAGGC
RNAcentral lists this ribosomal RNA (467 nucleotides) under uncultured bacterium. RNAcentral's name for it is "partial 16S ribosomal RNA". It matches the Rfam family "Bacterial small subunit ribosomal RNA", at positions 28 to 506 of the family's 1533-position model. The record is from RNAcentral.